AUUGAACGCUGGCGGCAUGCCUUACACAUGCUAGUCGAACGGCAGCACGGGAGCAAUCCUGGUGGCGAGUGGCGAACGGGUGAGUAAAGUAUCGGAACGUGCCCAGUCGUGGGGGAUAACGUAGCGAAAGUUACGCUAAUACCGCAUACGAUCUACGGAUGAAAGCGGGGGAUCGCAAGACCUCGCGCGAUUGGAGCGGCUGAUAUCAGAUUAGGUAGUUGGUGGGGUAAAGGCUCACCAAGCCGACGAUCUGUAGCUGGUCUGAGAGGACGACCAGCCACACUGGGACUGAGACACGGCCCAGACUCCUACGGGAGGCAGCAGUGGGGAAUUUUGGACAAUGGGCGCAAGCCUGAUCCAGCCAUGCCGCGUGCAGGAUGAAGGCCUUCGGGUUGUAAACUGCUUUUGUACGGAACGAAAAGGUUUGGCCUAAUAAGCUGGACCCAUGACGGUACCGUAAGAAUAAGCACCGGCUAACUACGUGCCAGCCGCCGCCGUAA
RNAcentral lists this ribosomal RNA (500 nucleotides) under uncultured bacterium. RNAcentral's name for it is "partial 16S ribosomal RNA". It matches the Rfam family "Bacterial small subunit ribosomal RNA", at positions 30 to 523 of the family's 1533-position model. The record is from RNAcentral.